RNAcentral lists this long non-coding RNA (270 nucleotides) under Mustela putorius furo (domestic ferret). Its description in RNAcentral is "lncRNA (ENSMPUG00000028452.1)". Lineage: Eukaryota; Metazoa; Chordata; Mammalia; Carnivora; Mustelidae. The record is from RNAcentral.
AAAAAUGGAAAGAGCUUGUAUUCUUUGUAUUUUUUUUUUUUUAAAGAUUUUAUCUAUUUAUUCGACAGAGAGAGGUCACAAGUAGGCAGAGAGGCAGGCAGAGAGAGAGAGAGAGAGGAGGAAGCAGGCUCCCCGCCGAGCAGAGAGCCCGAUGCGGGACUCGAUCCUAGGACUCCGAGAUCAUGACAUGAGCCGAAGGCAGCGGCUUAACCCACUGAGCUACCCAGCAAAAAUUUCUAAAAGCACACCCCACGCCAAACAGCAGCAACA